Molecule: ribosomal RNA, 481 nt
Filed under: uncultured bacterium
Lineage: Bacteria
Description: SSU rRNA
Rfam family: Bacterial small subunit ribosomal RNA
Source: RNAcentral
AGAAUGAACGCUGGCGGCGUGCUUAACACAUGCAAGUCGAACGAGGCUCAACCAGUGGCAACACUGGUGAAGGCCUAGUGGCGAACGGGUGAGUAACACGUGAGGAACCUGCCCCGAAGACCGGGAUAACCCUCCGAAAGGAGAGCUAAUACCGGAUACCCCCACCGAAUCGCAUGGUUUGGUGAGGAAAUGGAUUCCGCUUCGGGAGGGCCUCGCGGCCUAUCAGCUUGUUGGUGGGGUAACGGCCCACCAAGGCAUCGACGGGUAGCUGGUCUGAGAGGACGAUCAGCCACACUGGGACUGAGACACGGCCCAGACUCCUACGGGAGGCAGCAGUAGGGAAUCUUGCGCAAUGGGCGAAAGCCUGACGCAGCAACGCCGCGUGGGGAUGAAGGCUCUCGGGUUGUAAACCCUUUCAGUAGGGACGAAUCAAGACGGUACCUACAGAAGAAGCUCCGGCUAACUACGUGCCAGCAGCCGC